This 506-nucleotide ribosomal RNA is filed under the name uncultured bacterium. RNAcentral describes it as "partial 16S ribosomal RNA". It matches the Rfam family "Bacterial small subunit ribosomal RNA", at positions 29 to 523 of the family's 1533-position model. The record is from RNAcentral.
AGUGAACGCUGGCGGUAGGCCUAACACAUGCAAGUCGAACGGCAGCACAGGAGAGCUUGCUCUCUGGGUGGCGAGUGGCGGACGGGUGAGGAAUACAUCGGAAUCUACUCUGUCGUGGGGGAUAACGUAGGGAAACUUACGCUAAUACCGCAUACGACCUACGGGUGAAAGCAGGGGACCUUCGGGCCUUGCGCGAUUGAAUGAGCCGAUGUCGGAUUAGCUAGUUGGCGGGGUAAAGGCCCACCAAGGCGACGCUCCGUAGCUGGUCUGAGAGGAUGAACAGCCACACGGGAACUGAGACACGGUCCAGACGCCGACGGGAGGCAGCAGUGGGGAAUAUUGGACAAUGGGCGCAAGCCUGAUCCAGCCAUACCGCGUGGGUGAAGAAGGCCUUCGGGUUGUAAAGCCCUUUUGUUGGGAAAAAAAUCCAGCUGGCUAAUACCCGGUUGGGAUGACGGUACCCAAAGAAUAAGCACCGGCUAACUUCGUGCCAGCCGCCGCCGUAA